UACGUAGGGUGCGAGCGUUAAUCGGAAUUACUGGGCGUAAAGCGUGCGCAGGCGGUCUGUUAAGACCGAUGUGAAAUCCCCGGGCUUAACCUGGGAACUGCAUUAGUGACUGGCAGGCUUUGAGUGUGGCAGAGGGAGGUAGAAUUCCACGUGUAGCAGUGAAAUGCGUAGAGAUGUGGAGGAAUACCGAUGGCGAAGGCAGCCUCCUGGGCCAACACUGACGCUCAUGCACGAAAGCGUGGGGAGCAAACAGG
This 254-nucleotide ribosomal RNA is filed under the name uncultured bacterium. RNAcentral describes it as "partial 16S ribosomal RNA". It matches the Rfam family "Bacterial small subunit ribosomal RNA", at positions 524 to 776 of the family's 1533-position model. The record is from RNAcentral.